GUGAGGAAUUUUCCGCAAUGGGCGAAAGCCUGACGGAGCAAUGCCGCGUGAAGGAUGAAGGCCUAUGGGUUGUAAACUUCUUUUCUCAGAAAAGAAUUAUGACGGUAUCUGAGGAAUAAGCAUCGGCUAACUCUGUGCCAGCAGCCGCGGUAAGACAGAGGAUGCAAGCGUUAUCCGGAAUGAUUGGGCGUAAAGCGUCUGUAGGUUGUUUAAAAAGUAUUCUGUCAAAGAUUAGGGCUUAACCCUAGAUAGGCAGAAUAAACUUUUAAGCUAGAGUUUUGUAGAGGCAGAGGGAAUUCCCGGUGGAGCGGUGAAAUGCGUAGAUAUCGGGAGGAACACCAAAGGCGAAGGCACUCUGCUGGGCCAAUACUAACACUGAGAGACGAAAGCGAGGGGAGCAAAUGGGAUUAGAAACCCUGGUAGUCC
Molecule: ribosomal RNA, 426 nt
Filed under: uncultured bacterium
Lineage: Bacteria
Description: bacterial SSU rRNA
Rfam family: Bacterial small subunit ribosomal RNA
Source: RNAcentral